RNAcentral lists this long non-coding RNA (379 nucleotides) under Pelobates cultripes (western spadefoot toad). The record is from RNAcentral. Lineage: Eukaryota; Metazoa; Chordata; Amphibia; Anura; Pelobatidae.
CUCUGAGGACAGGUGUCAAUCCAUAUCUGCCAAGUGACCCUAUGUAGGGGGAACAGUCCCUAUUCUGCUCUGUGUCAGUGUUUAUCAGGGAUCCUUAGGAUAGGUGUCAAUCCAUAUCUGCAAAGUGACCCUAUGUAGGGGGAACAGUCCCUAUUCUGCUCUUUGUCAGUGUGUAUCAGGGAUCCUUAGGAUAGGUGUCAAUCCAUAUCUGCCAAGUGACCCUAUGUAGGGGGAACAGUCCCUAUUCUGCUCUGUGUCAGUGUGUAUCAGGGGCUCUGAGAACAGGUGUCAAUCCAUAUCUGCCAAGUGACCCUAUGUAGGGGGAACAGUCUCUAUUCUGCUCUCCGUCAGUGUGUAUCAUGGUCUCUGAGGACAGGUG